GAUGAACGCUAGCUACAGGCUUAACACAUGCAAGUCGAGGGGUAACGAGAGGAAAGCUUGCUUUCCUUGUCGACGACCGGCGCACGGGUGAGUAACGCGUAUCCAACCUGCCCCCAACUAGGGAAUAACCUUGCGAAAGUAAGACUAAUACCCUAUAAUUUCCUCAGAUGUCAUCUGACGAGGAAUAAAGAUUUAUCGGUUGUGGAUGGGGAUGCGUCUGAUUGGCUUGUUGGCGGGGUAACGGCCCACCAAGGCAACGAUCAGUAGGGGUUCUGAGAGGAAAGUCCCCCACAUUGGAACUGAGACACGGUCCAAACUCCUACGGGAGGCAGCAGUGAGGAACAUUGGUCAAUGGGCGGAAGCCUGAACCAGCCAAGUAGCGUGCAGGAUGACGGCCCUAUGGGUUGUAAACUGCUUUUAUACAGGAAUAAAGUUAGCCACGUGUGGUUAUUUGUAGGUACUGUAUGAAUAAGGACCGGCUAAUUCCGUGCCAGCCGCCGCAGUAA
RNAcentral lists this ribosomal RNA (506 nucleotides) under uncultured bacterium. Its description in RNAcentral is "partial 16S ribosomal RNA". It matches the Rfam family "Bacterial small subunit ribosomal RNA", at positions 28 to 523 of the family's 1533-position model. The record is from RNAcentral.